CUCACACAAUCCUCCUGCCUUGGCCUCCCAGAGUGCUUAGGAUUUGACAUGAGCCACCACACCCGGCCUAAUUUGGCAAGCAGUUUGAAGUCUAACAAUAUCAGAAGAAUGUGAGGAAAGGCAACACUCAUAUACCACUGGUAAGAUGUAAAUGGAAACAGCUUUGGAGAACAAUAUGGUACUGCCACCAUCACCACCACCACCAUAACCAACAUGACCAGGAUCACCACCAUCAUCAUCGUCACCAUCAUAAUCAUCACAGAAGCUGUCGCUUUAGGACACUUACUAUUUAUCAGGAACUGUACCAAGCACCUUAUAGAUACCAACCUUAUACACUGUCACCACUGAGAAUGCAUAACCCAGAGCAGGAAGCCCACCUUGCAGCUGUCAUCAUCUGGCUGUGUUACGGUCUCAUCUAAAGCAGGGUUUCGGCCACUGCGUGGGUUUGAUGGCUUCAUGCUUUACUCAGCGUGUUCCUUCUCCUCUUGGGAUUGGCACUGGAAAUAUCCACAAAGCCACAGCAUCUCUGGUCACAGCAUCCUGAUCAGAGAGCUACUCGAUUCUUUCAUUAAAGGAAUGUCCCAUAUUGGGAUGAAAUCCUUGUGGUUAUAAGGUAUGGCAAAAUACUACGCUUCUUACCCGCCCUCUACCCCUUAACAAAAAUCUUGUAAAGAAGGGCCAUGAUCUGCCUGGGGUGUAGGAAAAGAACUUCCAUCUAAAAGAAUGACAUUUCAGAUACUCAAAAACUCAGGCAAUACAUCAUCCACACACUCUAAGAAGAAAAAUUUUAGAAAAAAGUAUUUAAAGAAGAAAAGGAGAGUGUAUGUUCUGCAAAGAAUAACGGUAAUCGAUAAAAACAGUAGAGCUGUCAGGAAAGUCUAGAAGUUUCUGAUAACAUGGAUGUGAAACAUCAUGUAAUAGUUAAGAAAAAAAAAGUCUUUAGGGAUACAAGGGCAAAAAUAAAAGAAGCCACAUGGAAUAAAAAUCCUAGGUUAUUUCAACAAAACCUAGGAAAUGAGAAGGAGGAGAUAUCAAAAUAUCCUACUUUUGCCUUGUAAGGUGGUAGAAUAUUUUGGAUAGAAGUUAAUUUUUGACACUGAUAGGGAAAUACAGAUAAAACAUGCUUGUUCAAAGUUUAAAGGUAAUCCCCAGAAGAAAAAUAAAAGGAAGAAUGAAAAACUAGUCAAAUUCUGUAAAAGGCAGGAAAAUAAAGAUAUAUUUUGAGUGCCAUGAAAGCUUAUAAACAAAAUUCAAAGGCAGACGAUGAUCUGAACUGCCCCAUACUAGGCAACUUAAAUUUAGACUAAUUAAAAUAAAAGACUGCUCAAGUGCUCAAGAAUCCGACAUACUAAUGACUACCAAACUGGAUUUCUAUCACUCCAGAAAGUUCCAGCAGACAGCAUUAAUGGUGAAAAAUACAAGGUAACAAACGAGCCCAUGUUAAAUAUGGUCCCAUUUAUGUUAAACACACAGACACAUACUAAAAUGUGAGUUAAACUGCCACCGGUGGCAUCUCUAGGAUAUAAGAUGAUGAAAAGCUUUCAUUCUCUCCUUUAUGCACUUUAUUGUUUGGAUUUUUAAAAAGCACAUUUUACUCUUAUCAAGAGUAAACAGUCCUUAACAUACUUUGAAAUGGAACAACAACAAACCAGUCAAUUUCUUUCUUGAACUAGAAAGUAGAACUUGGUUCUGUUAAAGUGAUUAUAACAAAAAUAGAUUUAUAGCAUAUAUUUGUGCUAUUAAACAGAGAUGGCAAAGUAUGUGUCCUAUAUUUAGAAAUUUUCUGUAUUUUAGCCAACCUCUGGGAGAAGUUUGCUCUGGGCCAAAGGGUGAUUCAGAUGCAAGUCUUAGCAGAUAUUUGAUCAUUUCAAAUUGUAUUUCUUGAAUUGCAGAGGUCCCUUGGGCAUGGAUCUCAUUUAGAUUUAUAUAGCUGAUAACAGAUCAAAUUUCAGAAAGGGCAGCUUGGAGUUAUUCCUUAAAUUUUUGAUGACAAGAAAAACCUACUGAGAGUCAUAGUAAGUUUCUGUAUUUUCCCACUGAUACCAUACGGUUGAGUAAGAGAAAGUUCCCGAACUCAAUCUUACCAAUAGACAGAUAAAGUCAGAUAUGACAACAUACUGCACAGAGAAUAACUUCACUAUUCCCCCCUAAAUCCGGGGUGGUAGAAGACAGAGUGUGUUCUUUGUUAAAAGAAUUCUGACGUUUUCAUCUUUGCCUAAUACCAGAUCUUUAAUUUUUCUAAGAAAAAAAUGUCUUCACCCUUAAAUACUAAAACCAUUUCGUAUCUACCUUAGGGAUUAAUUUAGUCAUUUAUCGGCCAACAAAGACAUAUUCAUGUAUGUUAUAUUUUGAUUCCCUGUAUAAAUAUUCUAGACAGCUGCUUCCUAUUUCACCAUAGUGAAUAUGCAGGGAAAAGCUCUCCCAGUGGGAAAAGGAUGAGAAACAUCAAUGUGUCUAGGAAAUACGCAUUCUGAAAGUCAGUGUUGGUAAACCUAGGUUUUGUUACAAACUUGAGCACUAAUUUUAUUUGAGGCUAACUGCGUGAUUUUUGUUUCUCACACUGGACGAUAGGUAUCAUUAAUGUGGUAAGAGAUAAUGACUACUACCCAAAUGUCCCCCACGGACAUGGAAAGGACAAGAACAUGGUGAGUUUCAGCUGAUUCUUCAACAACUUGCCCUGUCUUCAAUGGUUUCCCCAAAUCCCUUCAUAACAAACAGAAGGCACAAACACAGCAAAGAUGAUCAAAGUAUUAAAGAUCCUUGAGUAUCUACCCAA
Molecule: long non-coding RNA, 2776 nt
Organism: Microcebus murinus (gray mouse lemur)
Lineage: Eukaryota; Metazoa; Chordata; Mammalia; Primates; Cheirogaleidae
Source: RefSeq, a predicted model, not a curated record